Anas platyrhynchos (mallard) is the source of this 538-nucleotide non-coding RNA. Lineage: Eukaryota; Metazoa; Chordata; Aves; Anseriformes; Anatidae. The record is from RefSeq and is a predicted model, not a curated record.
GGAAAAUAUACUAUUCCAAAGUGGCUCUCUCCUAACAGUACGCUGCUGCUUAGCCAAAUGCUACAGGUGGACCCAAAGAAGCGGAUUACAGUUAAGCAUCUGUUAAGUCACCCGUGGCUCAUGGAAGGUUAUUCAGAUGCUGUCCACUGGCAAAGUAAAUAUCCACAGGGACACCUUGACGAGGACUGCGUGACAGAGCUUUCCGUGUUUCACAACCAGAGCAGGGAGAGAAUAUUGGAAUUAAUAUCAGAGGCAAAAUAGACUCAACCUAAAGAUGUCUGGAUGAACAACCGAUUUCUUGCACUGGCUGAACUCCGUGCUUUGCAAUGUUCUGAUACCGGAGAGAAAACUUCCAGUGCAUCGCUCAGCCAGGCUAUAAAAUAAGCGUGGGGGACUUGCUUUUCACAAACUUUGGAAGAAGUGAAUCAGUUCCUGUCCCAUUGGAAUAUAAAUGACAAAAGCUGAGCUGACUACCUGUAGAGGAAUUGUACCAAGGUGUUAGUGGUGAUAUUCUAACCUGGUAGAAGAGACUUACAAC